Molecule: long non-coding RNA, 1852 nt
Organism: Triplophysa dalaica
Lineage: Eukaryota; Metazoa; Chordata; Actinopteri; Cypriniformes; Nemacheilidae
Exons: 2
Source: RefSeq, a predicted model, not a curated record
CAGGAGGCUCAGGGCUAUGUCACCUUCUUUCAGAUAGACGGAAGAAGAUACUCACAAGAGGCAACAGUGUGAGGCUCUUUCAGGACUAAAAGCAGAAAAAAACACCUCUGGGCCCCUACCGGGAUAUUCAAGAUUUUUUUUAGGAAAUUCAGUAAUAUUCCAAAUCCACUGACUGAAACCAGAGCUUUAAACUCAUUCAAUAGCUGGUGGAAGCCUCUUCAUUUUUGACUUUUCACCUAAACUUAACACCAUGAACAUCUCUCUUGAAAACCCUUAUGGAGACGUCGCCAUCCCCCGUGCCAAGCUGCGGGGUGACUCCAGCACCAUCAUCAUAAAUCCCAUGGCCUUAGAGAGCUCCUAUAACCGUACCUCUGCCACGAACCCUUACAGCAGCUUUAAAACGGCAGGAGAGAACAACCCCUCAAACGUGCCGGUGUACGGGGAGGUCAAGAACGGGAGCCAGAACCCUCCUCCUUACAGCAUCCAGACAGGUUACACCGUGAGGGAUGAUACAGAGCAGGUAGGACGCUGCUACGCUUGUUGCUGCCGCUGUCGAAUGAAGAAAUGAGACGUGCUUCCCGGUGCAAAGAAUUAUGGGUUUACAAAACGGAGGGAACAGGAUGAGGAGGAAUUUGUCUAGAACUCCCAAACCCUGUCAAACUGUGUUGUUGUGAAGCUAAACAUCACAGUGCUUAAAUGACCAGACUGCUACUGUAAGGAUUGCACAAAAAGAAUGAAACCUUUAACGGUAAUUUUGGAUUAAUUUGUCAAAGAUUGCUUUUGUUAAAUUGACACAGUUCAAUUCAUUUCUGCAUUUCUUUUGUUGAUCCACCUAACAAGCCGUUCCUUUGUGCACCGAUAAGUUUUACAAUGACACCGCUCUAUAUGAUUGUGACAAUUUGGCCUACCUGAGAUUGUUUUUUAUAUUAUAUCUCGAUGGGCUCGUUCAAGUUUCUAUUGAUCAAAGUGAUCAGGACUGUGGAACACAACCCACAACACUGUGUGAUGCAGGACUGUGAAACUGGAAACCACAUUGUUUUACAAAGACCACAAAGGGACACUUUCAACUUUUCCAGAAGAAUGACUUGUGCCAUUCAAGUUUCUACGUAACAAGCUUUUCUGGUUGUUCUUAACAAACAGCUGAUACCCAGGAACCUGGACCGUUAUUGCUUCGACAAAAUAAAAAACAUAAAUGCAACUUUACUGGAUCUUUACAUAAAAUAACAUAUUUAUAGUGUGGAUUGAUGAUUAAUACACAAUUAAUGAUAAGCAAUAUUUUGCAGGAUUGCUCAUACGCAGUUUUGCGAACCUGAGAUUGAAAAGUGAAUUGGUUUAAACCUCUAGAUGUUAGGCAUGAGUAAUGUUUGGUUUUAAAAUGAUGUAUGUUCUUUAUCACAAUGUCCUUGAAUUAAGUAGUCCUACGCCUAGUUUCCAUCAAGGUGACUCAGUGACGACAAAUUCUUUCAACUUGAGUAGGUGAUGACAAGCUUUGAUACAGCAGAACCGGUUUGGGAUACUUUGAUAGAGCUCAAAGUAUUUCCUGGAAUAAAACACAACAAGGCUAACUGAGGCUAGACCAACCGGUUUAAUGAUGUAAAGAAACUCGUGUCACAUGGAAAAGUGCAGUCCCGCAGAACUGAAGAAAACUAUGUGCAGUAUUUACAUAAAAAAUGUAUGUAAUGAAGGUUUCUUGUGACGUCACUUUGUUUGCUAGGAAUUAAAAGCAAAGGAAGAGAGGUUAAAACAAGUAAUGUAUUAUUGGUUUUCCUGAAAAAGAGGACCAAUUCAGUGUAAAAUAAUAACUCUUGAAUAUAAAUGAAAUGGAUUGAAUAAAAUGUUGGAAAAUUGAUAA